CCUACGGGGGGCUGCAGUAAGGAAUAUUGGUCAAUGGAGGAAACUCUGAACCAGCCAUCCCGCGUGAAGGAUGAAGGGGCUCUGCCUUGUAAACUUCUUUUGUCUGGGGCGAAAAAGCUCGAUUUAUCGAGAACUGACGGUACCAGAAGAAUAAGCACCGGCUAACUCCGUGCCAGCAGCCGCGGUAAUACGGAGGGUGCAGACGUUAUCCGGAUUAAGUGGGCGUAGGGGGCUUGGAAACGCAUUGGUAAAAGGCUGGGGCUUAACCAUGGAAUUGCCAUUGAUACUGCAGAGCUUGAAUGAGGUUGAGGUUGGCGGAAUGUGACAUGUAGCGGUGAAAUGCUUAGAUAUGUCAUGGAACACCGAUUGCGAAGGCAGCUGACUGGACCUAUAUUGACGCUGAGGCACGAAAGCGUGGGGAGCGAACAGGAUUAGAUACCCCUGUAGUC
This 449-nucleotide ribosomal RNA is filed under the name uncultured bacterium. Its description in RNAcentral is "partial 16S ribosomal RNA". It matches the Rfam family "Bacterial small subunit ribosomal RNA", at positions 338 to 795 of the family's 1533-position model. The record is from RNAcentral.